Molecule: ribosomal RNA, 1974 nt
Filed under: Staphylococcus aureus
Lineage: Bacteria; Bacillati; Bacillota; Bacilli; Caryophanales; Staphylococcaceae
Description: partial 23S ribosomal RNA
Rfam family: Bacterial large subunit ribosomal RNA
Source: RNAcentral
GGUGAAAAGCACCCCGGAAGGGGAGUGAAAUAGAACCUGAAACCGUGUGCUUACAAGUAGUCAGAGCCCGUUAAUGGGUGAUGGCGUGCCUUUUGUAGAAUGAACCGGCGAGUUACGAUUUGAUGCAAGGUUAAGCAGUAAAUGUGGAGCCGUAGCGAAAGCGAGUCUGAAUAGGGCGUUUAGUAUUUGGUCGUAGACCCGAAACCAGGUGAUCUACCCUUGGUCAGGUUGAAGUUCAGGUAACACUGAAUGGAGGACCGAACCGACUUACGUUGAAAAGUGAGCGGAUGAACUGAGGGUAGCGGAGAAAUUCCAAUCGAACCUGGAGAUAGCUGGUUCUCUCCGAAAUAGCUUUAGGGCUAGCCUCAAGUGAUGAUUAUUGGAGGUAGAGCACUGUUUGGACGAGGGGCCCCUCUCGGGUUACCGAAUUCAGACAAACUCCGAAUGCCAAUUAAUUUAACUUGGGAGUCAGAACAUGGGUGAUAAGGUCCGUGUUCGAAAGGGAAACAGCCCAGACCACCAGCUAAGGUCCCAAAAUAUAUGUUAAGUGGAAAAGGAUGUGGCGUUGCCCAGACAACUAGGAUGUUGGCUUAGAAGCAGCCAUCAUUUAAAGAGUGCGUAAUAGCUCACUAGUCGAGUGACACUGCGCCGAAAAUGUACCGGGGCUAAACAUAUUACCGAAGCUGUGGAUUGUCCUUUGGACAAUGGUAGGAGAGCGUUCUAAGGGCGUUGAAGCAUGAUCGUAAGGACAUGUGGAGCGCUUAGAAGUGAGAAUGCCGGUGUGAGUAGCGAAAGACGGGUGAGAAUCCCGUCCACCGAUUGACUAAGGUUUCCAGAGGAAGGCUCGUCCGCUCUGGGUUAGUCGGGUCCUAAGCUGAGGCCGACAGGCGUAGGCGAUGGAUAACAGGUUGAUAUUCCUGUACCACCUAUAAUCGUUUUAAUCGAUGGGGGGACGCAGUAGGAUAGGCGAAGCGUGCGAUUGGAUUGCACGUCUAAGCAGUAAGGCUGAGUAUUAGGCAAAUCCGGUACUCAUUAAGGCUGAGCUGUGAUGGGGAGAAGACAUUGUGUCUUCGAGUCGUUGAUUUCACACUGCCGAGAAAAGCCUCUAGAUAGAAAAUAGGUGCCCGUACCGCAAACCGACACAGGUAGUCAAGAUGAGAAUUCUAAGGUGAGCGAGCGAACUCUCGUUAAGGAACUCGGCAAAAUGACCCCGUAACUUCGGGAGAAGGGGUGCUCUUUAGGGUUAACGCCCAGAAGAGCCGCAGUGAAUAGGCCCAAGCGACUGUUUAUCAAAAACACAGGUCUCUGCUAAACCGUAAGGUGAUGUAUAGGGGCUGACGCCUGCCCGGUGCUGGAAGGUUAAGAGGAGUGGUUAGCUUCUGCGAAGCUACGAAUCGAAGCCCCAGUAAACGGCGGCCGUAACUAUAACGGUCCUAAGGUAGCGAAAUUCCUUGUCGGGUAAGUUCCGACCCGCACGAAAGGCGUAACGAUUUGGGCACUGUCUCAACGAGAGACUCGGUGAAAUCAUAGUACCUGUGAAGAUGCAGGUUACCCGCGACAGGACGGAAAGACCCCGUGGAGCUUUACUGUAGCCUGAUAUUGAAAUUCGGCACAGCUUGUACAGGAUAGGUAGGAGCCUUUGAAACGUGAGCGCUAGCUUACGUGGAGGCGCUGGUGGGAUACUACCCUAGCUGUGUUGGCUUUCUAACCCGCACCACUUAUCGUGGUGGGAGACAGUGUCAGGCGGGCAGUUUGACUGGGGCGGUCGCCUCCUAAAAGGUAACGGAGGCGCUCAAAGGUUCCCUCAGAAUGGUUGGAAAUCAUUCAUAGAGUGUAAAGGCAUAAGGGAGCUUGACUGCGAGACCUACAAGUCGAGCAGGGUCGAAAGACGGACUUAGUGAUCCGGUGGUUCCGCAUGGAAGGGCCAUCGCUCAACGGAUAAAAGCUACCCCGGGGAUAACAGGCUUAUCUCCC